RNAcentral lists this ribosomal RNA (254 nucleotides) under uncultured bacterium. RNAcentral's name for it is "partial 16S ribosomal RNA". It matches the Rfam family "Bacterial small subunit ribosomal RNA", at positions 524 to 776 of the family's 1533-position model. The record is from RNAcentral.
UACGUAGGCAGCGAGCGUUGUUCGGAGUUACUGGGCGGAAAGGGUGUGUAGGCGGUUGUUUAAGUUUGGUGUGAAAUCUCCCGGCUCAACUGGGAGGGUGCGCCGAAUACUGAAUGACUUGGAGUGCGGGAGAGGAGAGUGGAAUUCCUGGUGUAGCGGUGAAAUGCGUAGAUAUCAGGAGGAACACCGGUGGUGUAGACGGCUCUCUGGACCGUAACUGACGCUGAGACACGAAAGCGUGGGUAGCAAACAGG